RNAcentral lists this small nuclear RNA (333 nucleotides) under Castor canadensis (American beaver). RNAcentral describes it as "7SK RNA (ENSCCNG00000001650.1)". It matches the Rfam family "7SK RNA", at positions 1 to 294 of the family's 331-position model. From Rfam's summary of the family: 7SK was discovered as an abundant small nuclear RNA in the mid-70s but a possible function has only recently been suggested. Two independent studies have found that 7SK RNA binds the CDK9/cyclin T complex (known as elongation factor P-TEFb). The record is from RNAcentral. Lineage: Eukaryota; Metazoa; Chordata; Mammalia; Rodentia; Castoridae.
GGAUGUGAGGGCGCGCUGGUUGCAACAUCUGUCACCCCAUUGAUCUCCAGGGUUGAUUGGGCUGAUCUGGCUAGCUAGUCCUCCCUUACUGCUCCACGUGCGUCCCUCCCCAAGCUGCAUGCUGGGUCGAAGAGGACGACCAUCCCAGAUAGAGGAGGACUGUUCUUCAGUCAAGGGUGCACGAGUAGCUGCGCUCCCCUGCUAGAACCUCCAAACAAACUCUCAAUAAACUGUGAGGUUUUUAAGAUGUGUGUCUGUAUGGAAACAGUACUUAGGAAGAAUUAUUGAGGGUAGAUGUAAGUUAGAUUAAGUUGGAAUAAUCAUGAUUAAAUC